CCAAACAAUUAAUUGUUAUUUUCAGAGGGAUUCAGAGCAGCGGUCCCGAAAUUAGAUUGAGAUGAUGAAAAAUAUUAUUAAACGAAAAAAAGAAUCGAUAAUCUCGUUGUUGAAAUCGAUUUGUUCACAGCUCUAAUGACAGCUGAAGUAUUCACAAGUGUUUUGCAAUUUAAUAAAUUCAUUUCCAGAAUUGCUUUUGAACCUGGACUCUUUUUUAACCUAGACGGUGUGAACGGAAGGCCAUUAUAUAUCCAGUAUUUGUUCUCUUCUUAAUUGAUUGACGAGGCAACAGCCGGAAGGAGAGACCCGUAACAUACGUUUAGGGCGAAUGCAAGAAAUUAUGCGAAG
Molecule: long non-coding RNA, 348 nt
Organism: Drosophila serrata
Lineage: Eukaryota; Metazoa; Arthropoda; Insecta; Diptera; Drosophilidae
Source: RefSeq, a predicted model, not a curated record